Molecule: ribosomal RNA, 409 nt
Filed under: Lactococcus lactis
Lineage: Bacteria; Bacillati; Bacillota; Bacilli; Lactobacillales; Streptococcaceae
Description: bacterial SSU rRNA
Rfam family: Bacterial small subunit ribosomal RNA
Source: RNAcentral
GACGAACGCUGGCGGCGUGCCUAAUACAUGCAAGUUGAGCGCUGAAGGUUGGUACUUGUACCAACUGGAUGAGCAGCGAACGGGUGAGUAACGCGUGGGGAAUCUGCCUUUGAGCGGGGGACAACAUUUGGAAACGAAUGCUAAUACCGCAUAAAAACUUUAAACACAAGUUUUAAGUUUGAAAGAUGCAAUUGCAUCACUCAAAGAUGAUCCCGCGUUGUAUUAGCUAGUUGGUGAGGUAAAGGCUCACCAAGGCGAUGAUACAUAGCCGACCUGAGAGGGUGAUCGGCCACAUUGGGACUGAGACACGGCCCAAACUCCUACGGGAGGCAGCAGUAGGGAAUCUUCGGCAAUGGACGAAAGUCUGACCCGAGCAAACGCCGCGUGAGUGAAAGAAAGGUUUUUCGGA